Molecule: unclassified non-coding RNA, 2130 nt
Filed under: Hevea brasiliensis (rubber tree)
Lineage: Eukaryota; Viridiplantae; Streptophyta; Magnoliopsida; Malpighiales; Euphorbiaceae
Source: RNAcentral
AGCUUCUUUAUCUAUCCAUGUAUCUUGGCUAGAAAUAGGUUAUACUUAAUCCAUGGCUUUCUCUGUUUUCUCUUCCUUCAUCAUCCAUCCUCAGCUGUGGAAUCUCAUUUCCAAUAUGUCUCUCUUUGACUCCAUACUCUUCUCUGCUAUACAUUUUGUGGACAAGCUUGGAGUAUGGCAUAGGCUACCAGUGAUAUUGGGAAUCAUUUACUUGGCGAUCAGAAGACAUCUACACCAAAGUUAUAAUCUAUUCCAUGUUGGAGGAAUCAACGGUCUUAAAUAUGACACCAAGCAGUUUUCAUAUCGAACGGCUGAUGGGAAAUGCAACCAUCCCACCGAUGAUACAAUUGGCAGUCAAGGAACAUUUUUUGGCCGGAAUAUGCCUCCGUCUUCUUCUGCUUAUGGGUUGCUGGAUCCUCAUCCAACAAUUGUAGCCAACAAGCUUUUGGCAAGAAAGAAGUUCAUAGACAAUGGGAAGCAAUUCAACAUGAUAGCCUGCUCCUGGAUCCAAUUCAUGAUUCAUGACUGGAUUGAUCAUAUGGAGGAUACCCAACAGGUGGAAAUUAGAGCACCUAACGAAAUUGCAAAUGGAUGUCCAUUGAAGUCCUUCAAAUUCUACAAAACAAAGAAAGUUGCCACAAAUUCACCUUCUUUAAAGGAUGGAUGCCUGAAUACAAGAACACCUUGGUGGGAUGGAAGUGUAGUUUAUGGAAAUAAUGAGGGUGGAAUGAGAAGAGUGAGAACAUUCAAAGAUGGGAAGUUAAAGAUCGCAGCAGAUGGGCUUCUUGAACAUGAUGAGAAUGGGAUUCCAAUCUCAGGUGAUGUUAGGAAUUGCUGGGCAGGCUUCUCCCUAUUACAAGCCUUAUUUGUCAAAGAACAUAAUGCAGUAUGUGAUAUGCUUCAAGAAAAUUAUCCUGAUUUUGAUGAUGAGGAACUCUAUCGGCAUGCAAGAUUGGUGACUUCAGCUCUAAUUGCUAAAAUUCACACCAUUGAUUGGACUGUAGAACUUCUGAAAACUGAUACUCUUCUUGCAGGCAUGAGGAUCAACUGGUAUGGAUUUCUGGGGAAGAAAGUUAAGGAUUUGUUUGGACACAUUGGAGGACCUUUGCUUAGUGGAUUGGUUGGCCUUAAAAGGCCAAGAGAUCAUGGAGUUCCCUAUUCACUGACUGAAGAGUUUGCAAGUGUCUAUAGAAUGCAUUCUCUUUUACCUGAUACACUCAUUAUAAGGGAUAUCAAUUCCACUUCUUCAGAAUUUGAAUGCCCUCAAGUAUUAGAAGAAGUGCCUAUGAGGGAAAUGGUGGGAAAGGAAGGGGAGAAAAGAUUAUCAAAAAUUGGAAUGGAGAAAAUGUUGGUAUCAAUGGGUCAUCAAGCAAGUGGAGCUGUCACAUUAUGGAACUAUCCUUCAUGGAUGAGAAAUCUUAUUGCUCAUGAUAUCAAUGGAGAAGAUAGACCAGAUCUGGUUGAUAUGGCUGCAAUGGAAAUCUACAGAGAUAGGGAGAGAGAAGUUGCAAGGUAUAAUGAAUUCAGAAGGAACUUAUUGAUGAUUCCUAUUAGCAAGUGGGAAGAUUUGACAGAUGAUGAAGAGGUUAUAGAAGCUCUUCAUCAAGUUUAUGGAAAUGAUGUUGAAAAGCUUGAUUUGCUUGUUGGUCUACAUGCUGAAAAGAAAAUUAAAGGCUUUGCCAUAAGUGAGACUGCAUUUUUUAUCUUCUUACUUGUUGCAUCAAGGAGGCUAGAGGCGGAUCGCUUCUUCACUACAAAUUUCAACUCCAAAACUUAUACACAAAAAGGGUUAGAUUGGCUUAACAGUACAGAGACAAUGAAAGAUGUGAUUGAUCGCCAUUUCCCUGAAAUGACGAAGAAAUGGAUGAAAUGUUCAAGUGCAUUCGCAGUUUGGGAUUCAGAACCAGAUCAUAUGAACCACUUACCCUUGUAUUUGAGACCUGCCCCAUGAAAUGCUUAUCUCUUUGAUGGCUGUGGAAAGCUUUUUUUUGCAGAAUAAUAUAGUUGUCUCAAUUGAAAGACUUGUUAAACAUAUGUUGAAUGUAAAUUUCUUAUGUGUAUAAAUAAAAGUAAUUAAUGUUAACGAAAAAAUAGAAAGAAAAUACUAUUUUCAGAAAAAAUGGAUCGAAU